Molecule: ribosomal RNA, 595 nt
Filed under: uncultured Actinomycetes bacterium
Lineage: Bacteria; Bacillati; Actinomycetota; Actinomycetes
Description: uncultured actinobacterium partial 16S ribosomal RNA
Rfam family: Bacterial small subunit ribosomal RNA
Source: RNAcentral
CAUGCUCCCGGCCGCCAUGGCGGCCGCGGGAAUUCGAUUAGAGUUUGAUCAUGGCUCAGGACGAACGCUGGCGGCGCGCCUAAAACAUGCAAGUCGAACGAGAAGCCCGGGCUUGCCCGGGUGGACAGUGGCGAACGGGUGAGUAACACGUGAGGAACCUGCCCCGAAGACCGGGACAACAUCGGGAAACCGUUGCUAAUACCGGAUGCCCUCGAAGAAUCGCAUGGUUCAUCGAGGAAAUGGAUUCCGCUUCGGGAUGGCCUCGCGGCCUAUCAGCUUGUUGGUGAGGUAACGGCUCACCAAGGCUUCGACGGGUAGCUGGUCUGAGAGGAUGUCCAGCCACACUGGGACUGAGACACGGCCCAGACUCCUACGGGAGGCAGCAGUUAGGAAUCUUGCGCAAUGGACGAAAGUCUGACGCAGCGACGCCGCGUGCGGGAUGACGGCCCUCGGGUUGUAAACCGCUUUCAGCAGGGACGAAAUUGACGGUACCUGCAGAAGAAGCCCCGGCUAACUUCGUGCCAGCAGCCGCGGUAAUACGAAUCACUAGUGAAUUCGCGGCCGCCUGCAGGUCGACCAUAUGGGAGAGCUCCCA